RNAcentral lists this small RNA (30 nucleotides) under Bombyx mori (domestic silkworm). RNAcentral describes it as "ovarian small RNA-18730". Lineage: Eukaryota; Metazoa; Arthropoda; Insecta; Lepidoptera; Bombycidae. The record is from RNAcentral.
UAACCCCAUUACCACUUCCCCUUCUUGAAA